RNAcentral lists this ribosomal RNA (500 nucleotides) under uncultured Glomeromycotina. RNAcentral's name for it is "partial small subunit ribosomal RNA". It matches the Rfam family "Eukaryotic small subunit ribosomal RNA", at positions 591 to 1092 of the family's 1831-position model. Lineage: Eukaryota; Fungi; Glomeromycota. The record is from RNAcentral.
CCAAUAGCGUAUAUUAAAGUUGUUGCAGUUAAAAAGCUCGUAGUUGAAUUUCGGGAUCAGUACGCUGGUCGUGCCUUUGGUAUGUACUGGUGUUACUGGUUCCUACCUUCUGACGAACCGUCAUGUCAUUAAUUUGGUGUGGCGGGGAAUCAGGACUGUUACUUUGAGAAAAUUAGAGUGUUUAAAGCAGGCUCGCGCUUGAAUACAUUAGCAUGGAAUAAUGAAAUAGGACGUUCGAUCCUAUUUUGUUGGUUUCUAGGAUUGACGUAAUGAUUAAUAGGGAUAGUUGGGGGCAUUAGUAUUAAAUUGUCAGAGGUGAAAUUCUUGGAUUUAUUGAAGACUAACUACUGCGAAAGCAUUUGCCAAGGAUGUUUUCAUUAAUCAAGAACGAAAGUUAGGGGAUCGAAGACGAUCAGAUACCGUCGUAGUCUUAACCAUAAACUAUGCCGACUAGGGAUCGGAUGAUGUUAAUUUUUUAAUGACUCAUUCGGCGCCUUACG